RNAcentral lists this ribosomal RNA (331 nucleotides) under uncultured bacterium. RNAcentral describes it as "bacterial SSU rRNA". It matches the Rfam family "Bacterial small subunit ribosomal RNA", at positions 568 to 898 of the family's 1533-position model. The record is from RNAcentral.
UGCGUAGGCGGUUCGGUUAGUCUGGUGUGAAAAUCCGUCGCUUAACGACGGAAACGCAUCGGAAACUGCCGAGCUCGAGGGUGGAAGAGGCAGGUGGAAUUCCCGGUGUAGCGGUGGAAUGCGUAGAGAUCGGGAAGAACACUCGUGGCGAAGGCGGCCUGCUGGUCCAUUUCUGACGCUGAGGCACGAAAGCCAGGGGAGCAAACGGGAUUAGAUACCCCGGUAGUCCUGGCCUUAAACGGUGAACACUGGGUGUCGGGGGUAUCGACCCCUCGGUGCCGCAGCUAACGCGUUAAGUGUUCCGCCUGGGGAGUACGGCCGCAAGGUUGAA